Molecule: ribosomal RNA, 492 nt
Filed under: uncultured bacterium
Lineage: Bacteria
Description: partial 16S ribosomal RNA
Rfam family: Bacterial small subunit ribosomal RNA
Source: RNAcentral
AGUGAACGCUGGCGGUAGGCCUAACACAUGCAAGUCGAACGGCAGCACAGUAAGAGCUUGCUCUUACGGGUGGCGAGUGGCGGACGGGUGAGGAAUACAUCGGAAUCUACUUUUUCGUGGGGGUUAACGUAGGGAAACUUACGCUAAUACCGCAUACGACCUACGGGUGAAAGCAGGGGAUCUUCGGACCUUGCGCGAUUGAAUGAGCCGAUGUCGGAUUAGCUAGUUGGCGGGGUAAAGGCCCACCAAGGCGACGAUCCGUAGCUGGUCUGAGAGGAUGAUCAGCCACACUGGAACUGAGACACGGUCCAGACUCCUACGGGAGGCAGCAGUGGGGAAUAUUGGACAAUGGGCGCAAGCCUGAUCCAGCCAUACCGCGUGGGUGAAGAAGGCGUUCGGGUUGUAAAGCCCUUUUGUUGGGAAAGAAAAGCAGCAGGUUAAUACCCCGCUGUUCUGACGGUACCCAAAGAAUAAGCACCGGCUAACUUCGUG